RNAcentral lists this small RNA (838 nucleotides) under Pongo abelii (Sumatran orangutan). Its description in RNAcentral is "retained intron". The record is from RNAcentral. Lineage: Eukaryota; Metazoa; Chordata; Mammalia; Primates; Hominidae.
AUUUGCUAGUCAGACAAGUGACAGGGAUGGAUUCCAAACACCAGUGUGUGAAGCUAAAUGAUGGCCACUUCAUGCCUGUAUUGGGAUUUGGCACCUAUGCACCUCCAGAGGUUCCGAGAAGUAAAGCUUUGGAGGUUACAAAAUUAGCAAUAGAAGCUGGGUUCCACCAUAUAGAUUCUGCUCAUUUAUACAAUAAUGAGGAGCAGGUUGGACUGGCCAUCCGAAGCAAGAUUGCAGAUGGCAGUGUGAAGAGAGAAGACAUAUUCUACACUUCAAAGGCCAUGGAGAAGUGUAAGGAUGCAGGAUUGGCCAAGUCCAUUGGGGUGUCAAACUUCAACCGCAGGCAGCUGGAGAUGAUCCUCAACAAGCCAGGACUCAAGUACAAGCCCGUCUGCAACCAGGUGAGCUCCCUCGGCCUCCUCUCCUUUCGGUUCUUCAUGACCGUCUUCCUGUCCUAUUGCCAAAUAUCUGUUUGUUUUGUCCCACUUAUCUUUGUGAAGCAGAAGAUUCUAGAGAGCAAAGUUUCUGUCAAGAAAGGCAUGAAGAUUUCUUAUUUGUACUCUGCUCAGAAAAGUAUUAGGGAAAAAUUGGAAUGAGUUUAAUGUUGAAUCGUUUGUAAUAUUUAGGGGAGGUCCACUUGAUCAGGGAGGCCUGGAAUCAUCAAUUAGAACUCAAGGAAAGGUGGACUUACCUCUAAGCUAUGAAAGAUGACCAGAGAGUGCAUGGGUGAAGGUGAUUUGGAGGGAGUGGUGUAUAGAUAUGAAGCUAUGAAAAGAUGAAAUGAGCUGUACAUAGACAGUUAGAAUAAGAGAAGAGAGGUACUAGGGGUUUACCUGGA